AUACGGAGGGGGCUAGCGUUGUUCGGAAUUACUGGGCGUAAAGCGUACGUAGGCGGACUGAUCAGUUGGGGGUGAAAUCCCAGGGCUUAACCCUGGAACUGCCUUCAAUACUGUCAGUCUUGAGUAUGGGAGAGGUGAGUGGAAUUCCUAGUGUAGAGGUGAAAUUCAUAGAUAUUAGGAGGAACACCAGUGGCGAAGGCGGCUCACUGGCCCAUUACUGACGCUGAGGUACGAAAGCGUGGGGAGCAAACAGGAUUAGAAACCCUAGUAGUCC
RNAcentral lists this ribosomal RNA (274 nucleotides) under uncultured bacterium. RNAcentral describes it as "partial 16S ribosomal RNA". It matches the Rfam family "Bacterial small subunit ribosomal RNA", at positions 523 to 796 of the family's 1533-position model. The record is from RNAcentral.